UGCAGUCGAGCGGUGAGGGAGCUUGCUCCUGGAUUCAGCGGCGGACGGGUGAGUAAUGCCUAGGAAUCUGCCUGGUAGUGGGGGAUAACGUCCGGAAACGGGCGCUAAUACCGCAUACGUCCUGAGGGAGAAAGUGGGGGAUCUUCGGACCUCACGCUAUCAGAUGAGCCUAGGUCGGAUUAGCUAGUUGGUGGGGUAAAGGCCUACCAAGGCGACGAUCCGUAACUGGUCUGAGAGGAUGAUCAGUCACACUGGAACUGAGACACGGUCCAGACUCCUACGGGAGGCAGCAGUGCGGAAUAUUGGACAUGGGCGAAAGCCUGAUCCAGCCAUGCCGCGUGUGUGAAGAAGUCUUCGGAUUGUAAAGCACUUUAGUUGGGAGGAGGUCAGUAAGUUAAUUACUGCUGUUUUGACGUACCAACAGAAUAAGCACCGGCUACUCGUGCAGCAGCGCGUAAUACGAAUGGUGCAAGCGUUAUCGGAAUACUGGGCGUAAGCGCGCGUAGG
RNAcentral lists this ribosomal RNA (507 nucleotides) under Pseudomonas sp. RNAcentral's name for it is "bacterial SSU rRNA". It matches the Rfam family "Bacterial small subunit ribosomal RNA", at positions 56 to 575 of the family's 1533-position model. Lineage: Bacteria; Pseudomonadati; Pseudomonadota; Gammaproteobacteria; Pseudomonadales; Pseudomonadaceae. The record is from RNAcentral.